Harpegnathos saltator (Jerdon's jumping ant) is the source of this 97-nucleotide non-coding RNA. Lineage: Eukaryota; Metazoa; Arthropoda; Insecta; Hymenoptera; Formicidae. The record is from Rfam.
AUAAAUUGAAAAUCGGCGGAUAUCCUGAUGCGUAUGAUCCUGUAGAACACGGACCGUACGAUCCUGCACGCUUCUACGGAAAACGUAAGUUCCCUUA